AAAAAAGAUCUACAUAGCAACAAGCCACAACUGCACAGUUUCCAUUAAAGGUGACCACAAUUGCUAUCACAAAAUGAUUCCAAUUUAAAUUCAUAAAAAGUGCUGUUUGAAAGAUAUUGUUCCAUUUGCUAAUCCUAGAGCUUGACAUGGUCAAAAGGCUACAGAUGGAAUUUUAUUUUUCUUUGCCCUGUCAGGCUUAUCUCCCCAGCCCUAACUCAAGAAGGAAUCCUACCACAUUUUAAUUUUGCCUCAAUUUUACAAAUAUAUUCUAUAAUGUAUAGUUUUGUCAUCUAAAAAAUGUGAAAACUUGUUUAAUUUUAGAAACUUCUAAAUAAUAAUAAGAGAGGUUGUCUUCAUGGAAACUUAAUUCUUCACAGUCAACUGAAAAUGACUGGAUCCAGAUUACAGGUGGAUCCAAAUAAACUUAACCAUUUGCUAUUUUUCCCACUGGUCUGGAAAGUUUUUAAAUUUACUUACGAUCUUUACCUACAAAGUAACAUUAGGCCAGAAGUACAUGCUACAACACUCUUUCAAAUAUAACCGUCUAGACUCUUUCAAUUAGGGUACUUUGUAUCAGCUGCCCUUCAACCUUG
Molecule: unclassified non-coding RNA, 593 nt
Filed under: Hevea brasiliensis (rubber tree)
Lineage: Eukaryota; Viridiplantae; Streptophyta; Magnoliopsida; Malpighiales; Euphorbiaceae
Source: RNAcentral